UGAACGCUGGCGGCGUGCCUAAUACAUGCAAAUCGAGCGAACAGAUGAGGAGCUUGCUCCUCUGACGUUAGCGGCGGACGGGUGAGUAACACGUGGAUAACCUACCUAUAAGACUGGGAUAACUUCGGGAAACCGGAGCUAAUACCGGAUAAUAUAUUGAACCGCAUGGUUCAAUAGUGAAAGACGGUUUUGCUGUCACUUAUAGAUGGAUCCGCGCCGCAUUAGCUAGUUGGUAAGGUAACGGCUUACCAAGGCAACGAUGCGUAGCCGACCUGAGAGGGUGAUCGGCCACACUGGAACUGAGACACGGUCCAGACUCCUACGGGAGGCAGCAGUAGGGAAUCUUCCGCAAUGGGCGAAAGCCUGACGGAGCAACGCCGCGUGAGUGAUGAAGGUCUUCGGAUCGUAAAACUCUGUUAUUAGGGAAGAACAAAUGUGUAAGUAACUAUGCACGUCUUGACGGUACCUAAUCAGAAAGCCACGGCUAACUACGUG
RNAcentral lists this ribosomal RNA (495 nucleotides) under uncultured bacterium. RNAcentral describes it as "partial 16S ribosomal RNA". It matches the Rfam family "Bacterial small subunit ribosomal RNA", at positions 30 to 507 of the family's 1533-position model. The record is from RNAcentral.